Molecule: ribosomal RNA, 486 nt
Filed under: uncultured bacterium
Lineage: Bacteria
Description: partial 16S ribosomal RNA
Rfam family: Bacterial small subunit ribosomal RNA
Source: RNAcentral
AUUGAACGCUUUCUUCCUUCCUUACACAUGCAAGUCGAACGGCAGCACGGGUGCUUGCACCUGGUGGCGAGUGGCGAACGGGUGAGUAAUACAUCGGAACAUGUCCUGUCGUGGGGGAUAGCCCGGCGAAAGCCGGAUUAAUACCGCAUACGAACUACGGCUGAAAGCGGGGGACCUUCGGGCCUCGCGCUAUAGGGUUGGCCGAUGGCUGAUUAGCUAGUUGGUGGGGUACAGGCCUACCAAGGCGACGAUCAGUAGCUGGUCUGAGAGGACGACCAGCCACACUGGGACUGAGACACGGCCCAGACUCCUACGGGAGGCAGCAGUGGGGAAUUUUGGACAAUGGGCGAAAGCCUGAUCCAGCAAUGCCGCGUGUGUGAAGAAGGCCUUCGGGUUGUAAAGCAAUUUUGUCCGGAAAGAAAUCCUUGGCCCUAAUACGGUCGGGGGAUGACGGUACCGGAAGAAUAAGCACCGGCUAACUACGUG